RNAcentral lists this ribosomal RNA (387 nucleotides) under Syndiniales sp. RNAcentral's name for it is "partial small subunit ribosomal RNA". It matches the Rfam family "Eukaryotic small subunit ribosomal RNA", at positions 582 to 975 of the family's 1831-position model. Lineage: Eukaryota; Dinophyceae; Syndiniales. The record is from RNAcentral.
AUUCCAGCUCCAAUAACGUAUAUUAAAGUUGUUGCGGUUAAAAAGCUCGUAGUUGGAUUUCUGUCGAAAGUGGCCGGUCCCCACUCUGUGGGCGUAUCUGGUUCGCUUUUGGCAUCCUCCUGUGCUCGUUCUGUCCUUCACUGGAUGGAGCGGAACGCAGGACUUUUACUUUGAGGAAAUUCGAGUGUUCACAGCAGGCAAUCGCCCUGAAGAUAUUGGCAUGGAAUAAUAAUAUAGGACUUUGGUUUUAUUUUGUUGGUUUCUAAGGCCGAAGUAAUGAUUAAUAGGGAUAUUUGGGGGCAUUCGUAUUAAGCGGUCAGAGGUGGAAUUCUUGGAUUCGCUUACGACGAACUACUGCGAAAGCAUUUGUCAAGAAUGUUUUCAUUA